GACGAACGCUGGCGGCGUGCCUAAUACAUGCAAGUUGAGCGAUGAAGCUUGGUGCUUGCACCAAUUUGAAGAGCAGCGAACGGGUGAGUAACGCGUGGGGAAUCUGCCUUUGAGCGGGGGACAACAUUUGGAAACGAAUGCUAAUACCGCAUAACAACUUUAAACAUAAGUUUUAAGUUUGAAAGAUGCAAUUGCAUCACUCAAAGAUGAUCCCGCGUUGUAUUAGCUAGUUGGUGAGGUAAAGGCUCACCAAGGCGAGGAUACAUAGCCGACCUGAGAGGGUGAUCGGCCACAUUGGGACUGAGACACGGCCCAAACGCCUACGGGAGGCAGCAGUAGGGAAUCUUCGGCAAUGGACGAAAGUCUGACCGAGCAACGCCGCGUGAGUGAAGAAGGUUUUCGGAUCGUAAAACUCUGUUGGUAGAGAAGAACGUUGGUGAGAGUGGAAAGCUCAUCAAGUGACGGUAACUACCCAGAAAGGGACGGCUAACUACGUG
This 497-nucleotide ribosomal RNA is filed under the name uncultured bacterium. Its description in RNAcentral is "partial 16S ribosomal RNA". It matches the Rfam family "Bacterial small subunit ribosomal RNA", at positions 28 to 507 of the family's 1533-position model. The record is from RNAcentral.